Molecule: ribosomal RNA, 636 nt
Filed under: uncultured bacterium GKS2-38
Lineage: Bacteria; Bacillati; Actinomycetota; Actinomycetes
Description: bacterial SSU rRNA
Rfam family: Bacterial small subunit ribosomal RNA
Source: RNAcentral
AGAGUUUGAUCAUGGCUCAGGACGAACGCUGGCGGCGUGCUUAACACAUGCAAGUCGAGCGAUGAGAUCGCUUCGGUGAAGGAUUAGCGGCGAACGGGUGAGGAACACGUGAAGAAUCUGCCUUCAACUCUGGGAUAACUCCGGGAAACCGGGGCUAAUACCGGAUAUGAGCCUUGAUCGCAUGAUCGGGGCUGGAAAGUUUUUCGGUUGAAGAUGACUUCGCGGCCUAUCAGCUUGUUGGUGAGGUAAUGGCUCACCAAGGCGACGACGGGUAGCCGGCCUGAGAGGGCGACCGGCCACACUGGGACUGAGACACGGCCCAGACUCCUACGGGAGGCAGCAGUGGGGAAUAUUGGGCAAUGGAGGAAACUCUGACCCAGCGACGCCGCGUGCGGGAUGAAGGCCUUCGGGUUGUAAACCGCUUUCAGCAGGGAAUAAGCCCAAGUGAAGGUACCUGCAGAAGAAGCACCGGCUAACUAUGUGCCAGCAGCCGCGGUAAUACAUAGGGUGCAAGCCGUUUGUCCGGAAUUAUUGGGCGUAAAGAGCUCGUAGGUGGUUUGGUACGUCGGUUGUGAAAUUCAGGGGCUCAACCCCUGACUUGCAGCCGAUACGGGCAAGCUAGAGUUUGGUAGGGGA